This 427-nucleotide ribosomal RNA is filed under the name uncultured bacterium. RNAcentral describes it as "bacterial SSU rRNA". It matches the Rfam family "Bacterial small subunit ribosomal RNA", at positions 355 to 774 of the family's 1533-position model. The record is from RNAcentral.
UGGGGAAUUUUGGACAAUGGGCGCAAGCCUGAUCCAGCCAUGCCGCGUGCAGGAUGAAGGCCUUCGGGUUGUAAACUGCUUUUGUACGGAACGAAAAGACUCCUUCUAAUAAAGGGGGUCCAUGACGGUACCGUAAGAAUAAGCACCGGCUAACUACGUGCCAGCAGCCGCGGUAAUACGUAGGGUGCGAGCGUUAAUCGGAAUUACUGGGCGUAAAGCGUGCGCAGGCGGUUAUAUAAGACAGAUGUGAAAUCCCCGGGCUCAACCUGGGAACUGCAUUUGGAACGGUAGGGCUGGAGUACGGCAGAGGGGGAUGGAAUUCCACGUGUAGCAGUGAAAUGCGUAGAUAUGCGGAGGAACACCGAUGGCGAAGGCAAUCCCCUGGGCCUGUACUGACGCUCAUGCACGAAAGCGUGGGGAGCAAACA